Molecule: ribosomal RNA, 497 nt
Filed under: uncultured bacterium
Lineage: Bacteria
Description: partial 16S ribosomal RNA
Rfam family: Bacterial small subunit ribosomal RNA
Source: RNAcentral
GACGAACGCUGGCGGCGUGCCUAAUACAUGCAAGUAGAACGCUGAAGGAAGGAGCUUGCUCUUUCUGGAUGAGUUGCGAACGGGUGAGUAACGCGUAGGUAACCUGCCUGGUAGCGGGGGAUAACUAUUGGAAACGAUAGCUAAUACCGCAUAAAAUUGAUUAUUGCAUGAUAGUCAAUUAAAAGGUGCAACUGCACCACUACCAGAUGGACCUGCGUUGUAUUAGCUAGUUGGUGGGGUAACGGCUCACCAAGGCGACGUUACAUAGCCGACCUGAGAGGGUGGUCGGCCAAACUGGGACUGAGACACGGCCCAGAAGCCUACGGGAGGCAGCAGGAGGGAAUCUUCGGCAAAGGACGGAAGGCUGACCGAGCAACGCCGCGGGAGGGAAGAAGGUUGUCGGAUCGUAAAGCUCUGUUGUAAGAGAAGAACGAGUGUGAGAGUGGAAAGUUCACACUGUGACGGUAUCUUACCAGAAAGGGACGGCUAACUACGUG